This is a long non-coding RNA of Manis pentadactyla (Chinese pangolin), 989 nucleotides long. RefSeq lists it as uncharacterized. Lineage: Eukaryota; Metazoa; Chordata; Mammalia; Pholidota; Manidae. The record is from RefSeq and is a predicted model, not a curated record. The transcript has 3 exons.
CCAGGCUUUGUUACCACCCGAGUGUGCAGAAGGACACGAGCCCUGAGCGUGUGCCACCUCAUGCCUCUAUUACAUACUCUUGCAUUUUCCGCACUCCACUUUCUGGGGUCCAUCCCUGGAUGGAGGACAGAAAAGCCAGAGGAAAGCCCGGCUGCCCGGGGCUCGCUGCCCAUACACAGAGCUGAGCUGCUGCGCUCCUGCAGGCGUGCGUGUUUGGAGUAUGUGGAUUGCACUCUCUGCAUUAGCAGGUAAAAGAAGCCUGAAGAUACCCAGUCUUGGCUGUGUAAGCUCCACAUUCAUCAGGGACUCAGGAGCUGCUAUUUUCCUGCCUCCCUGUGGCUUCCGUUUCUGAGGUUUCCAAAUGCCUGCUUCUGUUGCUCCUCAGUCCCGCAGGAAGGAGCCGGGAGCCAGAGGAAGAAGGUGCUCUAGACACAUCCAGAAUCCUGAGACAGUCUUCCUGGAGGUUCCAUAAAGCGCAUCUGUUUAAAUCUCAUUGUCCAGAACUCAGCCAUGUGCUGGGAGGCUGGGAUUAUAGUCAUUUAUUUGGGAUCAAUGCUCCACUGAAUAAAACUGGGUUUUACUAUCCAUGGAAGUAAACGAAGAAUACUGGGUAGACAGUCAGAAAAUGUAUUGCUUUAUAUAACUGAAUAUUUCAAGGGUUAUCAAUGGCUUCAGGUAGAGUUUGAUCAAGCUGAUGUCAUCAUUCAGACUUUUGUCCUGCUUCUCAGAGAUUCUCCGGCUCAUCCUCCUCAUGCAUUGUUUCUAACCACAGACUGGGUUUCCCUAGGAUGACAGAGGCGGCCUCAGCAUUCCAUGAUGUUGUGUCCUUAGACGCCACCAAAGAGAGAGAGAUUCUUUCUGAGAUCUCUCACAGCACAGAGAAAAUAUCUUCUUCCCAGACCCCUAGCAAAAGAUAUCUUCUCCAUGGUUAAACAGGCCACCUUGGACUAUAUACUUCUAAAAGGAGUGGCAUGGAUACCUUCCAUGCA